UACAUCGCAAAAAAAUUUAUUGAACGUUAUAAUUUUUUAAUUUACCAAGCAUUACUUGGUAAUGAGUAUUAAGUGGAGAAUUAAAUUUGAUUAGAAACUUGAUCUGUAAAGUUUCUAUAAAAAGAGAUUUAACGAAGGAUGGAUGGGAUAGUAUAGUAACCGGAAAGGAAAUUAUUCUAUACGUAAAAUUUUUUCAUCGUAAAUACUACAGGACUGCAUGAUAGAAUACGGAGUGAGCAUUCUCAUUUCUUCUCUGGUGUUACUGGACCUCGAAGGAUUGUCUCUCAGUACGGUUAUUACCCCAUGCGACCAAGUGGUCAAGUCAUUUAAAGAUAGUAUAUGGAGGAAACAAUGUAUUUAAGUUUAAAGUUAAGUAUCUGCUCUUUUUGAUUUCACAGUAGCAUAGACAAGAAUCUAUUGAAUCGCACGUCACAAGAACCUAUUUAAUUGUAUAAUUCCACAGAAAGGUUCAUAUUUUAUCAUUUCUAUCCGAGAAUGGCAAAAAUGUGCAAUAAUGAUUUGUAUUGGUAAAAAUUUUAUUUUAACAGGUAACAAAUAAAGAAAGUUUCAUUUCUAAAUUAGUACCUAGGUACACUGUUUCAGCGAUAUCUGACAUUGGAUCAUGUUAGAAGUGCGGCAAAUUGUUGAUACGUCAGGGGAACCUACUUCCCGUAUUGGAGACGAGUAUAUUCAGUGCAUGUAGGCAAGAUAUAACGAUCUGGAAUCUAGGAAUUACAGUCUGAA
Molecule: long non-coding RNA, 744 nt
Organism: Bombus pyrosoma
Lineage: Eukaryota; Metazoa; Arthropoda; Insecta; Hymenoptera; Apidae
Exons: 3
Source: RefSeq, a predicted model, not a curated record